Brienomyrus brachyistius is the source of this 368-nucleotide long non-coding RNA. RefSeq lists it as uncharacterized. Lineage: Eukaryota; Metazoa; Chordata; Actinopteri; Osteoglossiformes; Mormyridae. The transcript is spliced from 3 exons. The record is from RefSeq and is a predicted model, not a curated record.
AGGAGGCAAGGGGAAACCGGGAGGAUUAUGGGAAAGACCCUGCACAGCUCGGCAAGGACACGGAUAUAGGCGGCAACACACAGAUCGGAGGUUACAGAAAAUGACACGGGGACCACAAGUUCUAUGGUAGCCUGCCCGGGCAGCAGAGGACAGUAGAAGGUUAUAGAGGAAAUGACACGGGGACCACAAGUUCUAUGGUAGACUGCCCGGGCAGCAGAGGACAGUAGAAGGUUAUAGAGGAAAUGACACGGGGACCACAAGUUCUAUGGCAGACUGCCCGGGGAGCAGAGGACAGUGCAAGGUUAUAGAGGAAAUGACACGGGGACCACAAGUUCUAUGGCAGACUGCCCGGGCAGCAGAGGACAGUA